CUGGGUGCAUAAAUCAUUGGAUCAUGCUUUUUGAUGAAUAGUGAACCAUAGGACUUGUUUCUACAGAAGAACUUAGGAACUUGGUAUUAUAUAGUGUAGCUGAAACUGAAAGCUACAAGAUUUGAAUAAGUAAGUUCUACAUAUACACUAACACAGUCAUACAUACAUGUGUGUGUGCGUCAAUGUGUGAUCCCAUAAGUUCCGCUUUGUAGCAUUACAAUUUUGGUCUUCCG
Long non-coding RNA from Arabidopsis thaliana (thale cress), 233 nucleotides. RefSeq annotates it as other RNA. The record is from RefSeq. NCBI's taxonomy places the organism in Eukaryota, Viridiplantae, Streptophyta, Magnoliopsida, Brassicales, Brassicaceae. The transcript has a single exon.